AACUUUCGGCAACGGACCACUUGGCUCCUCGCAUCGAUGAAGAACGCAGCGAAACGCGAAAUGUAAUGUGAAUUGCAGAAAUAUAGUGAAUCAUCGAAUCUUUGAACGCAUCUUGCGCCCGGUGGUAUUCCGCCGUGCAUGCCUGUCUGAGUGUCAUUACUAUCUCAACCCUAGCCAUGUUGUUAUGACGUUGCUAAGCGGAUUGGAACUUGGACUUGGCGGGGUUCGCCCUGCCGGUCUUAAAUGGAGUAGGCUAGCCGACUAUCAGCGGUUUGACCGGGUGUUGUAGAGUCGCCUCACUUGGGACGCUGAGCGGAUUAGUUGAAUUGUAAUUGUAUUACUCAAGCGAUUUAGACCUCAGAUCAGGUAGGAUUACCCGCUGAACUUAAGCAUAUCAAUAAGCGGAGGCU
RNAcentral lists this unclassified non-coding RNA (410 nucleotides) under uncultured Basidiomycota. Its description in RNAcentral is "sequence contains ITS2". The stretch from base 1 to 156 matches the Rfam family "5.8S ribosomal RNA". Lineage: Eukaryota; Fungi; Basidiomycota. The record is from RNAcentral.